Molecule: ribosomal RNA, 253 nt
Filed under: uncultured bacterium
Lineage: Bacteria
Description: partial 16S ribosomal RNA
Rfam family: Bacterial small subunit ribosomal RNA
Source: RNAcentral
UACGAAGGGGGCUAGCGUUGUUCGGAAUUACUGGGCGUAAAGCGUGCGCAGGCGGCUUCUCAAGUCAGGGGUGAAAGCCCAGAGCUCAACUCUGGAAUUGCCUUUGAGACUGAGUGGCUUGAGUACGAGAGAGGUGAGUGGAAUUCCCAGUGUAGAGGUGAAAUUCGUAGAUAUUGGGAAGAACACCGGUGGCGAAGGCGGCUCACUGGUCCGGUACUGACGCUGAGGUGCGAAAGCGUGGGGAGCAAACAGG